CUUUGAUGUAUGACUUUGGUGACUUUGGUGUAGCAUUCUCCUGUGGCUUAGAUCAUAUAUGUACUCCUUAGUUGUCCAUCAGUGAAAUGGGAAAAAUGAGGCGUCCUGUGUUGCAGGGUUCAUUACAGGAUUCAUUAUCUGGCAUUCGGAAGGAGUUUUAAAGGAGAAAAAAAGUGUCGGGGAAAGGCUGAGUCCCGGCAAUUACUGAACAUUUCUCUCCCCCUCCCAGGGCUCACUUUGCACAGGUUGCUCCAGGCACUGAGACAUGAUGAACAUCCUUCUGGAAGUCCUGAUCAGCUCAUACCAGACCAGCACUGCCAGCUCUUAUUUGCCAUGGGGAAGGUAAACGGAUGCAGAGCGGAUUCAGGUGUCGGUAGAGCCCCUACAUCCAGCGCUGAGUAGCAGCAUUCAGCGGCUCACUGGCCGCUUCGAAAUCCUGCAGGCACGAUGGGACGUGAAAACGAAGGCCAGCGUUACCGCUGCUUGAAGGUGGGGUAAGGACAUGGGAGGCUAACGGGCCGGCCCCGAAGGCGGCUGAGCCCCAGCGCGGGGCCUGUGCUUCUGCUCCGGCCUUGCUGGUCCUCACGCGCUGUCAGCAGAGCAGGAGAGGGAGCGCCGGGAAGGGGUUCCCGGAGGAAAAUCCCCUUCAGAAAGGGCUGAGCACAUGCUGUCGGUUUUCUGCAGAACGCGUCAGCAUUUCCUUUUGGCUCCGGCUUGAAAUAUUAUUUGAAAAGUAGAAAAGAAUUAAAACGGAAAAGGAGAGGGGAAUGCCACUCUGCCAUUUUAUCCUUAUUUUUUUACCGUUUUG
RNAcentral lists this long non-coding RNA (808 nucleotides) under Struthio camelus australis. RNAcentral's name for it is "lncRNA (ENSSCUG00000011820.1)". Lineage: Eukaryota; Metazoa; Chordata; Aves; Struthioniformes; Struthionidae. The record is from RNAcentral.